GAGACCAAUCUCCUGCACAUGUCAGCCUCCGCUUUAAUGAGAUAUUUGACUAAAGAGGCAUCUAAAACUAGUAGCUUAAAGAAGGAAGUAGUCAAAGGAUCACGCCUUCUGCGCACAUCAACCUCUUCUGUGAAGACGCGUUUGCACAAAGACAAGUCCGAGACUAAAAACCUAGGCAAGAACGUUGGUGAA
Microtus oregoni (creeping vole) is the source of this 192-nucleotide long non-coding RNA. RefSeq lists it as uncharacterized. The transcript is spliced from 3 exons. NCBI's taxonomy places the organism in Eukaryota, Metazoa, Chordata, Mammalia, Rodentia, Cricetidae. The record is from RefSeq and is a predicted model, not a curated record.